RNAcentral lists this ribosomal RNA (301 nucleotides) under uncultured bacterium. RNAcentral describes it as "partial 16S ribosomal RNA". It matches the Rfam family "Bacterial small subunit ribosomal RNA", at positions 512 to 809 of the family's 1533-position model. The record is from RNAcentral.
CAGUCCGCGGUAAUACGUAGGGCGCAAGCGUUGUCCGGAAUUAUUGGGCGUAAAGAGCUCGUAGGCGGUCUGUCGCGUCUGGUGUGAAAUCCCGAGGCUCAACCUCGGGCUUGCAUCGGGUACGGGCAGACUAGAGUGCGGUAGGGGAGACUGGAAUUCCUGGUGUAGCGGUGGAAUGCGCAGAUAUCAGGAGGAACACCGAUGGCGAAGGCAGGUCUCUGGGCCGCAACUGACGCUGAGGAGCGAAAGCAUGGGGAGCGAACAGGAUUAGAUACCCGGGUAGUCCCUGUCUCUUAUACAC